RNAcentral lists this ribosomal RNA (306 nucleotides) under uncultured bacterium. Its description in RNAcentral is "bacterial SSU rRNA". It matches the Rfam family "Bacterial small subunit ribosomal RNA", at positions 40 to 348 of the family's 1533-position model. The record is from RNAcentral.
CGGCAGGCCUAACACAUGCAAGUCGAGCGGAUGAGGGGAGCUUGCUCCUUGAUUCAGCGGCGGACGGGUGAGUAAUGCCUAGGAAUCUGCCUGGUAGUGGGGGAUAACGUUCCGAAAGGAACGCUAAUACCGCAUACGUCCUACGGGAGAAAGCAGGGGACCUUCGGGCCUUGCGCUAUCAGAUGAGCCUAGGUCGGAUUAGCUAGUUGGUGAGGUAAUGGCUCACCAAGGCGACGAUCCGUAACUGGUCUGAGAGGAUGAUCAGUCACACUGGAACUGAGACACGGUCCAGACUCCUACGGGAGG